CCUGAGAAACGGCUACCACAUCCAAGGAAGGCAGCAGGCACGCAAAUUACCCACUCCCGGCACGGGGAGGUAGUGACGAAAAAUAACGAGGCGGUUCUCUACGAGGCCCGCCAUCGGAAUGGGUACAAUUUAAAUCCUUUAACGAGGAUCUAUUGGAGGGCAAGUCUGGUGCCAGCAGCCGCGGUAAUUCCAUCUCCAAUAGCGUAUAUUAAAGUUGUUGCGGUUAAAAAGCUCGUAGUUGGAUCUGCGGUCAAGGAAUGUGGUCCUCCGACGGAUGGUUACUGCUUUUCCUGACCUAACUACUUCGGUUUUCCCUUGAUGCUCUUAACCGAGUGUCUUGGGCGACCGAAACGUUUACUUUGAAAAAAUUAGAGUGCUCAAAGCAGGCGUUCAGCCUGAAUAGUGGUGCAUGGAAUAAUAAAAGAGGAUCUCGGUUCUAUUAUGUUGGUAUUGGAUUGAGAUAAUGAUCGACGGGGAUAGACGGGGGCAUUCGUAUUGCGACGUUAGAGGUGAAAUUCUUGGAUCGUCGCCAGACGAACAACUGCGAAGGCAUUUGCCAAGAAUAUGCUCUUCAAUCAAGAACGAAAGCGAGGGGCGCGAACGCGAUCAGAUACCGCGGUAGUUCUCGCCGUAAACGAUGCCAACUAGCGAUCCGCCGGAGUUAAAUGAUGACUCGGCGGGCAGCUUCCGGGAAACCAAAGUUUUUGGGUUCCGGGGGAAGUAUGGUUGCAAAGCUAAAACUUAAAGGAAUUGACGGAAGGGCACCACCAGGAGUGGAGCCUGCGGCUUAAUUUGACCCAACACGGGGAAACUCACCCGGCCCGGACACCGUAAGGAUUGACAGAUUGAGAGCUCUUUCUUGAUUCGGUGGGUGGUGGUGCAUGGCCGUUCUUAGUUGGUGGAGCGAUUUGUCUGGUUAAUUCCGAUAACGAACGAGACUCUAGCCUGCUAAAUAGACAGUGAAUCGUUAGUUCACUGUACUUCUUAGAGGGACAAGCGGCUUCUAGCUGCACGAGAUUGAGCAAUAACAGGUCUGUGAUGCCCUUAGAUGUUCGGGGCUGCACGCGCGCUACACUGAAGGAAUCAACAUGCAUUCUACCUUACCCGAAAGGGUUUGGUAACCCGUUGAAACUCCUUCGUGAUUGGGAUAGGGACUUGCAAUUAUGGCCCUUGAACGAGGAAUUCCCAGUAAGUGCGGGUCAUCAGCUCGCGUUGAUUACGUCCCUGCCCUUUGUACACACCGCCCGUCGCUACUACCGAUUGGAUGUUACAUCGAACUGUUCGGACCGAUGUCGAAGCGGCUUCACGGCUGCUUCGGUCGUUUGGAAAGAUCCGUUAGAUUUGACAUCUAGAGGAAGUAAAAGUCGUAACAAGGUU
Molecule: ribosomal RNA, 1377 nt
Filed under: metagenome
Description: SSU rRNA
Rfam family: Eukaryotic small subunit ribosomal RNA
Source: RNAcentral